UACGGAAGGCAGCAGUGGGGAAUAUUGGACAAUGGGCGCAAGCCUGAUCCAGCCAUGCCGCGUGUGUGAAGAAGGCCUUUUGGUUGUAAAGCACUUUAAGCGAGGAGGAGGCUCUCUUAGUUAAUACCUAAGAUGAGUGGACGUUACUCGCAGAAUAAGCACCGGCUAACUCUGUGCCAGCAGCCGCGGUAAUACAGAGGGUGCGAGCGUUAAUCGGAUUUUACUGGGCGUAAAGCGUGCGUAGGCGGCUUUUUAAGUCGGAUGUGAAAUCCCCGAGCUUAACUUGGGAAUUGCAUUCGAUACUGGGAAGCUAGAGUAUGGGAGAGGAUGGUAGAAUUCCAGGUGUAGCGGUGAAAUGCGUAGAGAUCUGGAGGAAUACCGAUGGGCGAAGGGCAGCCAUCUGGGCCUAAUACUGACGCUGAGGUACGAAAGCAUGGGGAGCAAACAGGGAUUAGAUACC
Molecule: ribosomal RNA, 460 nt
Filed under: uncultured bacterium
Lineage: Bacteria
Description: bacterial SSU rRNA
Rfam family: Bacterial small subunit ribosomal RNA
Source: RNAcentral